RNAcentral lists this ribosomal RNA (379 nucleotides) under uncultured Microcystis sp. Its description in RNAcentral is "bacterial SSU rRNA". It matches the Rfam family "Bacterial small subunit ribosomal RNA", at positions 196 to 593 of the family's 1533-position model. Lineage: Bacteria; Bacillati; Cyanobacteriota; Cyanophyceae; Chroococcales; Microcystaceae. The record is from RNAcentral.
CAAGGUGAAACCUAAUUGGCCUGGAGAAGAGCUUGCGUCUGAUUAGCUAGUUGGUGGGGUAAGAGCCUACCAAGGCGACGAUCAGUAGCUGGUCUGAGAGGAUGAGCAGCCACACUGGGACUGAGACACGGCCCAGACUCCUACGGGAGGCAGCAGUGGGGAAUUUUCCGCAAUGGGCGAAAGCCUGACGGAGCCACGCCGCGUGAGGGAGGAAGGUCUUUGGAUUGUAAACCUCUUUUCUCAAGGAAGAAGUUCUGACGGUACUUGAGGAAUCAGCCUCGGCUAACUCCGUGCCAGCAGCCGCGGUAAUACGGGGGAGGCAAGCGUUAUCCGGAAUUAUUGGGCGUAAAGCGUCCGCAGGUGGUCAGCCAAGUCUGCU